Molecule: ribosomal RNA, 562 nt
Filed under: Vibrio sp. BTED47
Lineage: Bacteria; Pseudomonadati; Pseudomonadota; Gammaproteobacteria; Vibrionales; Vibrionaceae
Description: bacterial SSU rRNA
Rfam family: Bacterial small subunit ribosomal RNA
Source: RNAcentral
AUGCAGUCGAGCGGAACGAGUUAUCUGAACCUUCGGGGAACGAUAACGGCGUCGAGCGGCGGACGGGUGAGUAAUGCCUAGGAAAUUGCCCUGAUGUGGGGGAUAACCAUUGGAAACGAUGGCUAAUACCGCAUGAUGCCUACGGGCCAAAGAGGGGGACCUUCGGGCCUCUCGCGUCAGGAUAUGCCUAGGUGGGAUUAGCUAGUUGGUGAGGUAAGGGCUCACCAAGGCAACGAUCCCUAGCUGGUCUGAGAGGAUGAUCAGCCACACUGGAACUGAGACACGGUCCAGACUCCUACGGGAGGCAGCAGUGGGGAAUAUUGCACAAUGGGCGCAAGCCUGAUGCAGCCAUGCCGCGUGUAUGAAGAAGGCCUUCGGGUUGUAAAGUACUUUCAGUCGUGAGGAAGGCGGCGUCGUUAAUAGCGGCGUUGUUUGACGUUAGCGACAGAAGAAGCACCGGCUAACUCCGUGCCAGCAGCCGCGGUAAUACGGAGGGUGCGAGCGUUAAUCGGAAUUACUGGGCGUAAAGCGCAUGCAGGUGGUUUGUUAAGUCAGAUGUGAA